This 400-nucleotide ribosomal RNA is filed under the name uncultured bacterium. RNAcentral describes it as "bacterial SSU rRNA". It matches the Rfam family "Bacterial small subunit ribosomal RNA", at positions 355 to 776 of the family's 1533-position model. The record is from RNAcentral.
UGAGGAAUUUUGCUCAAUGGGCGAAAGCCUGAAGCAGCGACGCCGCGUGAACGAUGAAGUCCUUCGGGAUGUAAAGUUCUGUCAGCAGGGAAAAUAAUGAUGGUACCUGCAGAGGAAGGCCCGGCAAACUAUGUGCCAGCAGCCGCGGUAAUACAUAGGGGCCAAGCGUUGUCCGGAUUUACUGGGCGUAAAGGGCUCGUAGGUGGCGAUCUAAGUCAGAAUUAAAGGCAGGGGCUUAACCCCGUGUUCGGUUUUGAAACUGGAUCGCUAGAGAUUUAGAGAGGAAAGCGGAAUUAACAGUGUAGCGGUGAAAUGCGUAGAUAUUGUUAAGACACCGUGGCGAAGGCGGCUUUCUGGCUAAAUCUGACGCUGAGGAGCGAAAGCGUGGGGAGCAAACGAG